RNAcentral lists this ribosomal RNA (964 nucleotides) under uncultured Campylobacterota bacterium. Its description in RNAcentral is "bacterial SSU rRNA". It matches the Rfam family "Bacterial small subunit ribosomal RNA", at positions 335 to 1319 of the family's 1533-position model. Lineage: Bacteria; Pseudomonadati; Campylobacterota. The record is from RNAcentral.
ACCCUACGGGAGGCAGCAGUGGGGAAUAUUGCACAAUGGAGGAAACUCUGAUGCAGCAACGCCGCGUGGAGGAUGACACAUUUCGGCGCGUAAACUCCUUUUAUAUGGGAAGAUAAUGACGGUACCAUAUGAAUAAGCACCGGCUAACUCCGUGCCAGCAGCCGCGGUAAUACGGAGGGUGCAAGCGUUACUCGGAAUCACUGGGCGUAAAGCGCGCGCAGGCGGUCUUUUAAGUUGGAUGUGAAAGCCUACGGCUCAACCGUAGAACUGCAUCCAAAACUAUUAGACUAGAGUGUGGGAGAGGAAGAUGGAAUUAGUUGUGUAGUGGUAAAAUCCGUAGAGAUAACUAGGAAUACCAAAAGCGAAGGCAAUCUUCUGGAACAGUACUGACGCUGAGGCGCGAAAGCGUGGGGAGCAAACAGGAUUAGAUACCCUGGUAGUCCACGCCCUAAACGAUGAAUGUUAGUCGUUGGAAGGCUAGUCCUUUCAGUGAUGCAGCUAACGCAUUAAACAUUCCGCCUGGGGAGUACGGUCGCAAGAUUAAAACUCAAAGGAAUAGACGGGGACCCGCACAAGUGGUGGAGCAUGUGGUUUAAUUCGAAGAUACGCGAAGAACCUUACCUAGCCUUGACAUAUAUUAGAACUCCGCAGAGAUGCAGAGGUGCCUUCGGGAGCUUUUAUACAGGUGCUGCACGGCUGUCGUCAGCUCGUGUCGUGAGAUGUUGGGUUAAGUCCCGCAACGAGCGCAACCCUCGUCACUAGUUACUAACGGUUCGGCCGAGGACUCUAGUGAGACUGCCUUCGUAAGGAGGAGGAAGGUGAGGACGACGUCAAGUCAUCAUGGCCCUUACGGCUAGGGCAACACACGUGCUACAAUGGCCAGGACAGUGAGACGCGAUACCGCGAGGUGGAGCAAAUCUAUAAACCUGGUCUCAGUUCGGAUUGUAGUCUGCAACUCGACUAC